This 524-nucleotide ribosomal RNA is filed under the name uncultured bacterium. RNAcentral's name for it is "partial 16S ribosomal RNA". It matches the Rfam family "Bacterial small subunit ribosomal RNA", at positions 28 to 523 of the family's 1533-position model. The record is from RNAcentral.
GACGAACGCUGGCGGCGCGCCUAAUACAUGCAAGCUGAGCGCAGGAAGCUGACGGAACUCUUCGGAGAGAAGGCAGUGGAAUGAGCGGCGGACGGGUGAGUAACACGUAAGGAACCUACCUCAAGGAUUGGGAUAACUCCGAGAAAUCGGAGCUAAUACCGGAUAGUUCAACGGACCGCAUGGUCCGCUGAUGAAAGGCGCUUCGGCGUCACCUUGAGAUGGCCUUGCGGUGCAUUAGCUAGUUGGUGGGGUAACGGCCCACCAAGGCGACGAUGCAUAGCCGACCUGAGAGGGUGAUCGGCCACACUGGGACUGAGACACGGCCCAGACUCCUACGGGAGGCAGCAGUAGGGAAUCUUCCACAAUGGACGAAAGUCUGAUGGAGCAACGCCGCGUGAGUGAUGAAGGUUUUCGGAUCGUAAAACUCUGUUGUAAGGGAAGAACACGUACGAGAGGGAAUGCUCGUACCUUGACGGUACCUUACGAGAAAGCCACGGCUAACUACGUGCCAGCCGCCGCAGUAA